This is a long non-coding RNA of Manihot esculenta (cassava), 1881 nucleotides long. RefSeq lists it as uncharacterized. The transcript has 2 exons. The record is from RefSeq and is a predicted model, not a curated record. Lineage: Eukaryota; Viridiplantae; Streptophyta; Magnoliopsida; Malpighiales; Euphorbiaceae.
CCGGUGCAGAUAUUUAUGAAAAGUUGUUUUCUUAAAACUUCAAGAUAGCUGUCAAGAAACCGAAGGGCUCAGUGGAAGAAUUACAUAGUUUAUAGCAUGGUUGAUUGAAUGCUGGAUCUUCAGUUGGCAUAGGAGGAUCCUGACCAAAUAUCAUCUCGCAACUCAUAUCAUCAAAAUCUGCAUAGUCAGAUGGCAUAGAACUAUUAUUAAGGUGCACUAAUGGAUGGGUUCUAAUCAUGAUUCAUCAUAUGUUAAUGCAGAAUGCUAACACUGCUUUUCUGUGCUUAAUUUAUGAUUGGCACUUGAGAAUGUGGAUGAUGCUUGUGGUCAUAUCAACUAAGCUGUAGGUUACACGAUAAUGAUUGGUUUCGUGAAGAAUAUCAGUGUCUUGCGUAUAACAUGGUGGACUAGUUGGCACUAAACAUAGAAGCAUCCAUGUUUGAUUUACGGCCAAGAUUUGUUACUGUCCAUUUGCCACAUAUAAUUUAUAUUUGCAGUUUCAAGCUCUUUGCAGGAAUUCUCACCUCAGAUUGGAUGGGUCUACAUGUGGUUUUGUGCCCCAAGUGGUUAUGCUUGGGCCCUCCAUUUACAUCAUGAGCAUGGCCUCCACAUUCUCUAGUGCAGGUACUAUAGUAUGAUUUCUUUUUCUUUUGUUUUUAUAAGUUACUAUAAGAGGAAAUGGAGAAUAGUUUUUGGUAUUACUAUUAGUGCAGAUUAUACACCCUUUCUCUCAUCAAUAUAUCAAAUUUUAGACAUGGCUUGAUAAAGUAAUAUUCCCUUUUUUUUUUCUUCUAUUAAUCUACAGUUUCUUAAGAUUGUCUAACAAACAAGAUGGUUGAUAAAGUGAUCUCCAUUAGCAGUGUAAAUGCUAUAAAAAAUCAAGGGUUAGUGAAUGAGUUUACUUACUAGGAACCAUGUUGACUGGCAUUCCCAGAGAGUGCUUAAUAAAGGUUUGACUAGGAACCUUACAGAGAUUAGUACACAUCCCAACACAAUUAGUCUCUUCUAAAAACCUGCAAGAUCAUAAAAUAGUAAUAGUAAUAAAAAAGAAAAGGGGAUUAGCACUAGUUGUAUUAAAAAUUUUGAUGAUUAUUUGAUAAUGAUGGUGAUUAUUACCAUUAUGCUGGCCAUAAUGUUAAAUGGAGAAAAUAGUAACACUCAUCGGAGCAGAUUGGUUUCAGAAAUGAAAAGUGUCUUAGGUUGGUGAAAUGGGACCCCAUUAAACAGUUGUAAAUUAAAAUUGGAGAGGGAAGUUAAAGUUACCUGCACUUUUCUAUAUGGACUACAUUCUUUUCUUUUCUUCCAUUGAGCUCUGAUUCCCGCACCUUGUUUGUCAAGUGAUCAAGAGCAGUCAGUCCUGGUAAUAUCCAUUUUAUGCAGCAUCUUUUUUAGCAAAUUAUUAUUAUUAUUAUUAUUAUUAUUGUCAUUAUUAUUAUUAUUAUUAUCUGCGCCUGUUUGCUAUCUGACAAAAGAUAUGAGAAAGUUUUGUGAUUGAGGGACUCUUUGAUGUCCUAUUAUUGAUCUGAUUUGAAUAUCAUCCCAUCCCCUUUAAAGGGUCUUGGAAGUAAUAUCAGAAAUCUUGGAAGAGAGAUUUGUGCAUACCUCGCAUGGCCCAAUUAGCCAGACGAAAAACAAGGUGGUGAAAGCUGCAAAAUACUCUCUUGCAAAUUGAGAUUGGGGCAUCACUGCCUUUAUCUGCAAUCAACAACGGGAAAUUCAUAUCAGUUUUGUUUGAAAAAAUUAACUGGAUGGAAUUCUUAAAACUCUUGAUUCUAAGCAUGAUGUAACUGUGAAAUGAACUUCAAAAGCACUGCCUAUAAAUGGAAUGAUUAUGUAUAGACAUAGAUGGCCUUUGAAAACUUAUAUAAAGCAAUUGAGACC